RNAcentral lists this ribosomal RNA (242 nucleotides) under uncultured bacterium. RNAcentral describes it as "partial 16S ribosomal RNA". It matches the Rfam family "Bacterial small subunit ribosomal RNA", at positions 113 to 354 of the family's 1533-position model. The record is from RNAcentral.
CGACGUGAGUAACCUGCCUUGGAGUGGGGAAUAACAGUUGGAAACAGCUGCUAAUACCGCAUAAUAUGUCUGUGUCGCAUGGCACUGGGCAUCAAAGAUUUAUCGCUCUGAGAUGGACUCGCGUCUGAUUAGCUAGUUGGCGGGGUAACGGCCCACCAAGGCGACGAUCAGUAGCCGGACCGAGAGGUUGGCCGGCCACAUUGGGACUGAGACACGGCCCAGACUCCUACGGAAGGCAGCAG